ACACAGUUGNUGCAUGGCUGUCGUCAAGNUGGUNUCGUGAGAUGUUCGGUUAAGUCCGGCAACGAGCGCAAACCCACGUCUUUAGUUGCCAGCAUUCAGUUGGCACUCUAAGAAACUGCCGAUGAUAAGUCGGAGGAAGGUGUGGAUGACGUCAGUCCUCAUGGCCCUUACGGGUUGGGCUACACACGUGCUACAUGGCAGUGACAAUGGGUUAAUCCCAAAAAGCUGUCUCAGUUCGGAUUGGGGUCUGCAACUCGACNCCCAUGAAGUCGGAAUCNCUAGUAAUCGCGUAACAGCAUGA
This 301-nucleotide ribosomal RNA is filed under the name uncultured bacterium. RNAcentral's name for it is "bacterial SSU rRNA". It matches the Rfam family "Bacterial small subunit ribosomal RNA", at positions 1032 to 1357 of the family's 1533-position model. The record is from RNAcentral.